RNAcentral lists this ribosomal RNA (421 nucleotides) under Holothuria leucospilota. Its description in RNAcentral is "partial 16S ribosomal RNA". It matches the Rfam family "Bacterial large subunit ribosomal RNA", at positions 1982 to 2610 of the family's 2925-position model. The record is from RNAcentral. Lineage: Eukaryota; Metazoa; Echinodermata; Holothuroidea; Aspidochirotida; Holothuriidae.
GGAGACCUGUAUGAACGGCAAAACCUUUUCAAACUGUCUCCCUCCCUAACCUUUUAAACUCCUUUUUACGCGAAGAAGCGUGAAUACAUCAGAAAGACGAGAAGACCCUGUCGAGCUUCAGCCAAUAAGUGAGCCAACAAAACCUAUGUGUUAGCAUCACCCAAAGGCUUUGGUUGGGGUAACCAUGGAGAACACUAACCCUCCAGAACAAGCAGACGAACUCUCUUCCCUACUAAACGAGCUAAAGAACCAGGAACUGGUAAUCGGAAAAAGUUACCGCAGGGAUAACAGCGUAAUCCCCUUUAAGAGUCCUUAUUGACAAGGGGGUUUGCGACCUCGAUGUUGGAUUGGGGCCCCCUUAGGGUGCAGAAGCUCUAAACGGUUAGACUGUUCGUCUAUUAAAGCCCUACGUGAUCUGAGU